CAGCAGCCGCGGUAAUACGAAGGGUGCAAGCGUUAAUCGGAAUUACUGGGCGUAAAGCGUGCGUAGGCGGUUUGUUAAGUCUGUUGUGAAAUCCCCGGGCUCAACCUGGGAAUGGCAAUGGAUACUGGCAAGCUAGAGUGUGUCAGAGGAUGGUGGAAUUCCCGGUGUAGCGGUGAAAUGCGUAGGGAUCGGGAGGAACAUCAGUGGCGAAGGCGGCCAUCUGGGACAACACUGACGCUGAGGCACGAAAGCGUGGGGAGCAAACAGGAUUAGAUACCCGGGUAGUCCCUGUCUCUUAUAC
RNAcentral lists this ribosomal RNA (301 nucleotides) under uncultured bacterium. RNAcentral's name for it is "partial 16S ribosomal RNA". It matches the Rfam family "Bacterial small subunit ribosomal RNA", at positions 509 to 807 of the family's 1533-position model. The record is from RNAcentral.